This 253-nucleotide ribosomal RNA is filed under the name uncultured bacterium. Its description in RNAcentral is "partial 16S ribosomal RNA". It matches the Rfam family "Bacterial small subunit ribosomal RNA", at positions 524 to 776 of the family's 1533-position model. The record is from RNAcentral.
UACGUAGGGUGCGAGCGUUAACCGGAAUUACUGGGCGUAAAGCGUGCGCAGGCGGUUUUGUAAGCCAGAUGUGAAAUCCCCGGGCUUAACCUGGGAAUGGCAUUUGGGACUGCAAGGCUCGAGUGCGGCAGAGGAGACUGGAAUUCCUGGUGUAGCAGUGAAAUGCGUAGAUAUCAGGAGGAACACCGAUGGCGAAGGCAGGUCUCUGGGCUGACACUGACGCUCAUGCACGAAAGCGUGGGGAGCAAACAGG